AGGCCAUGUAAAUGAAUAUUUGCCUGGAAAACGUCCUUGGAUAACGGUACAAUUUUUACAAGCCAAAUUUUAAUUCAGAUUGCCACAAAAGUGAAGCUCCAGUGCCAUAGUUCUUGGAAGAUAAUACUAAAAAAGGAGGGAAAAAAAUGCAACAUAUCCUGCCACCCUACUUCACUUGCCUCAUGUCUAGCUUAUAACUGUAGAGGAUAAAAGGGCUAGCAACCUUAGAGCAAAUAAAUAAGUGAAUAAGAUAUAAAGCAAAUCCAAGGAUCGUACAAGCCCAAAUAGAUAAACCAUGCAGAAAGAAGGAUGUUUAGUACAUUAAGGCAUGGCAAAGCAAAUGCCAAUACCUAAUUAGGGCUACAAAACAAGAACGUAUGAUCACGUAAUUUUAUAGGAGCCGUGAAUAUACGAGACGGCGAGAAAUGUACCAAACUAUACAUUGAAACAUGGCAAACUUGUUCUUCUUUGGGUAUGAUUUGAUAAACCAACACAGCCAAACCCAAUGCAAUCGCAAAUGGGGAAAAUUCAAAUUGUUGAUUCGGUCUCAUUUUGAUCAUCUGCACCUUCGGUUUGGAUAACAGAAGUAUCCAAACUAUUUCUGGUACUCUCAUGAGUGUCAGCAGACAAAGGGGAGAUGGGGGAUUCAUUUUCCGCAACUUCUGAAGGAUCAUCAUAGUCAGUUAAAGCAACAGAAACAUCCUCAAACUGGUCACUCACCAGCCUCAUUAGUACAUGAUGAAAGCUGGACUUUAUACGCUCAAACUUGUGGUUCGGUGUAUGCUGCUGAUUGAACCUCCCAGGACGCUUGGAGCGAGUAUUAUAACAGUCUCCACAAAGGUCAAAACCAAUUUUUUCAACACAAUCUUUGCAUUGGUAUCUAUCCCCUAUUAUAGGAUACAUCUGUUGAUACAUGCAUAUUGUUACAGUGCUGUGGAUAAUAUUCAGCCAAAAAAACAAAAUAUCAAUUGGAAGCACCACUGUAUUUGAAAUUUGGAAAGACCCGCUACAGUGUUUUGGUAUCUAUCAUUGCUUGUACUGCCCCACAAGAAUCGCAGCCAACACCAAUGUGAACCUUUAACUCGGUAGGAUUAGCCCCCUGUAGCAAAUGCUCUUCCUUUGGCACAGAUGAAAUAAGAGAAAUUUUUUUACUAGCUCUUCUAGAACAAGUAGUCUGUUUCUCAACCUCAAUGCAUGCCUGUUUUAGCUGGACAAAAUCUCUUCUCAAGGCAUACUCUUUAGGGAAUUGUUUCUCCACAAAAUGAUCAAGCUCCAAACAGACUUCUAGAAAACCAGUUGGGUGUAGAGAUUGACACGUCUGACAUUUAAGCCCCUUAUCAACUGAAGCCAGGAUGCAAGCCUCACAAUACCCAUGGCCACAGUUGAGGACAACUGGAUGAAAAAGCAGUUGCUUGCAUGCUGUGCACUGUACAUCAGUGAUUGACACCAUCUUGCAAUUUCCAUUAGGCUCUCGUUUGCUGCUGGAACAAGACUCUGAGCAUGAGUUGGGCUCCAAACUAGUAGUUGAGGCACGUUCAGGAUCCCUCAGGUGACCAUAUUCUUGAUUGGCAUGUGACCGACAUGCAUUGCAAUCAAAUUGAGGUGAAAACAAGGCCAUUUCUUUUUCUUCCGCUAGAAUUUGUUCUUCCCUUCUCUUAUAGGCAAUGGGAUACAUCUUCAAGAGCAAGAAGUGCAGCAUCUCACAGAUGGAUGGAAAGUAAUUAUAUGGAUGCCUACAAAUUGGACAAUGGGACUCUCGUAGACUAUUCAUGGAUUUAUGGACACACCAGAAACAGGACAUGUGACCACAAGAGAGCACUAUAGGUUUGUAUAGAAGAUCCAGACAAAUGCAACAGAGAAAAGAAUCGGGAACGUCCUCCAAUUCAAAGGCGUCGGCCAUCGUGAAAUGAUGAAUUUGAGAAAAACAGAGGAUCCAGGUGUUUGGGAUAAUGUCCCAAAGAACCCUGACCUUAAGAAAGAGACCAGGGUACAGGGUUGAGGACCGCGGAAGCUUAUAGCAUCCGAUUGGUUUGAGUCGGUUUGCGCAGGAAUAAGG
RNAcentral lists this unclassified non-coding RNA (2056 nucleotides) under Hevea brasiliensis (rubber tree). Lineage: Eukaryota; Viridiplantae; Streptophyta; Magnoliopsida; Malpighiales; Euphorbiaceae. The record is from RNAcentral.